This is an RNA transcript of Hemicordylus capensis (graceful crag lizard), 2283 nucleotides long. It is a transcript of the gene named zinc finger and SCAN domain-containing protein 31-like, with no coding region annotated. Lineage: Eukaryota; Metazoa; Chordata; Lepidosauria; Squamata; Cordylidae. The transcript has 5 exons. The record is from RefSeq and is a predicted model, not a curated record.
GAAAUUUAUUAAGGAAAUUGGCUCAGUCAUUGCAGCCCACAUACACUUAUUUGGCUUUUCAUUUUCUGAUGUUUGAACUGAUUGCUGAAUGUACAUUUCUGACUUUUUAUAGGGGUUUAUUAGAGGCACAUUUCUAUUGAGACAAAUAGGCUAAGUCUGUGUGUUUCAUCUGUAGUGGCAUAUAAUAAUGCACAUGUGUGCACACUGCUUUGAUAUUGCCUCCCAGAACAAAACCCAUUCCAUUCAUGGCUGAAAAAAAUGAAGAGGGCACACUGGAUGGGGAUGAACGUGUUGGCUGUGGCUCAGGGGCGUAACAAGGCUGGAGUGGGCCCAGAGGCAAAAUUUUAAAAUGGGCCCCUCGAUGAUACACACAGCUUCUCUCCCCUGCCUGAGUGAGCUAGAUUCCCUUUCAGUGGCCCCUCCCCUCUGCCUGGAGGACCGCUGGGCAAAGGAAGAGAGUUGCGCGUCCUAGAGAGCCCGCUGAGACGGAAGGCUGGCCCUGCAAGGAGGAACUUCCCGUCCCGUCUGGCUUUUCUCGCCAGCAGCACCAGCAGCAGCUUCUUGGGAGAAGAAUCCGGGAGAAGCUGGAGUUUGAAUGUGAACUAUAUGCUUGUCUGGGAAUGACAAUUACUUUCAGAAGCACCAGAAAACAUGCCUUGGCCUUGUGUGGCUAAGAGGUGGAUUCAUCACAUUCUUCUUGGCCUGGGCAGCAAAGAAGCAUUAGAGGAAGAAGAGCUUUUGGAUGUGUUGGGAGCUUAAGCUGAGCUUAGAGAGACCAUGGAUGUGCCAAGCCCAGCAAAGAGUGGAUCAGGGAAGGGAACAGAAAAAGGCCCUCCAGCCACCCAGUCUGGCAAUGAUAAGAGAUUCUGGGAAAGAACUGUGCAGAAGAUCCUGGGAGGAGGCAGCACCAGCUCAGAUGUCCAGGUCAGGAGAUUCAGACAGUUCGUUUACCAGGAAGUUGAAGGGCCCCGAGAGGUUUGCAGCCAACUCCACCACCUUUGCCAGCAGUGGCUGGAGCCAGAGAGACACACGAAAGCUCAGAUGCUGGACCUGGUGAUCCUGGAGCAGUUCCUGACCAUCCUGCCCCCGGAGAUGGAGAGCUGGGUGAGAGAAUGCAGAGCGGAGACCAGUUCGCAGGCGGUGGCCCUGGCAGAAGGUUUCCUCCUGAGCCAGGCAGAGGAGAAGAACCAGGAAGAGCAGCAGACAGAUGGGAUGUUAGCCCAAGCAGCCCCUGAGCUCCAAGAUUGCAAGAGGGCUCUGUUGGUGACCCGUCAGAAGCUGCUUUUCAGAGGGAUCAUGCAGGAGAAUGAUGGAGGCCCCAUUGUGCUAGGAAGGGUUGAUCACUGCCGCCUGCAGUGCAAUACGAGGUGACGUCCUUCAGCAUCUUCCUAUCUCGCUGCUGCCCGAUAGAGGUGUAUCCCAUAGUCUGGGAAACAUACCAGUUGGAUUCGAACUAGCAACAUCAUGCUUGCUAGGCCAGUCAUUCCUGCUGCACCAUUGACUUGGGCGGUGAAAUGACUCUGGCGACUCCUCCUGGACCUUCUCUUCUUGGUGGUGGAGUGGAAACUGUUGCUGUGCACUCACCAGAUCAGGUAGGAGAAGAAUCCCUGGUUGGGUAGGAGGAGAAGCAGACCUCGCCUCUCUCUGGACCCCACUGAGCCUCAGUCAAAGGUGCUCCCUUCUGUCUCUGAAAGCCACAGAGGAAAUGUUGGGUCCUCCAGGAGAACCUUGAGCCUCCCCCUUUCUGGCAAGACUGAUGGAGAUACAGUGAGGUGGUUCUCAGGACCAGCCCUUCCUGGGUAAGGCAGUGCUAGCCCGGGAAAGGCUGGUGGUGAGAACCACUGUGAUGGCUCCCGAUCCCGGUGCUCUUCUUCCAGGUAGCCUGCCUUGGAAACCCCGGCUAAGAGUGAGGUAGGAGGUCACGUGCACACUUCCUCCCUCACUGCCCAGUUGUAUGUCCCAUUGGGAUUCUAAAAAUGGCCGCCGGGAGUGGUGACCAUAGAGCCCUGACUGCUGAGCAGCCAGGGAGAGGAGCCCUUCUGCUUUGUAGCAGGCUGCCUUUCCACUGCCCACACAGGGCAUUGUGGGAUGAGGGAGGACUUCCUCCUUCCAAUCCCACCUCAGGGAACUAAUGCAGUGUCACUCCAGUGAGCAAGUGACCAUUGGCACCCUGGCCCAAAUCCGCUUUUGGUGGGGAGGGUAAGUUGAUCCUGCCUUCCCGUUCAGCUCUCCCCAGCUUAAGUGCCUUGGGUCACGUGUCCAACCUUCAUGUUGGAUUGCCCU